UCCAGACUCCUACGGGAGGCAGCAGUGGGGGAUAUUGCACAAUGGGGGGAACCCUGAUGCAGCGACGCCGCGUGGGUGAAGGAGCACCUCGGUGCGUAAAGCCCUCUCGGCAGGGAAGAAACAGACGGUACCUGACUAAGAAGCCCCGGCUAACUACGUGCCAGCAGCCGCGGUAAUACGUAGGGGGCAAGCGUUAUCCGGAUUCACUGGGUGUAAAGGGAGCGUAGACGGCGACGCAAGUCUGGAGUGAAAGCCCGGGGCCCAACCCCGGGACUGCUCUUGGAACUGCGCGGCUGGAGUGCAGGAGGGGCAGGCGGAAUUCCUGGUGUAGCGGUGAAAUGCGUAGAUAUCAGGAGGAACACCGGUGGCGAAGGCGGCCUGCUGGACUGCGACUGACGUUGAGGCCCGAAAGCGUGGGGAGCAAACAGGAUUAGAUACCCUCGUAU
RNAcentral lists this ribosomal RNA (446 nucleotides) under uncultured bacterium. Its description in RNAcentral is "bacterial SSU rRNA". It matches the Rfam family "Bacterial small subunit ribosomal RNA", at positions 330 to 793 of the family's 1533-position model. The record is from RNAcentral.